Molecule: RNase P RNA, 342 nt
Filed under: uncultured Lachnoclostridium sp.
Lineage: Bacteria; Bacillati; Bacillota; Clostridia; Lachnospirales; Lachnospiraceae
Description: Bacterial RNase P class A
Rfam family: Bacterial RNase P class A
About the family: Ribonuclease P (RNase P) is a ubiquitous endoribonuclease, found in archaea, bacteria and eukarya as well as chloroplasts and mitochondria. Its best characterised activity is the generation of mature 5'-ends of tRNAs by cleaving the 5'-leader elements of precursor-tRNAs. Cellular RNase Ps are ribonucleoproteins.
Source: RNAcentral
AGUAGGACAGAUGGUCGCUGCUGCAGGACCGAAAGGCUGCAGGGGAGGAAAGUCCGGGCUUCACAGGGCAGGAUGCCAGAUAACGUCUGGUGGAGGCGACUCCAAGGACAGUGCAACAGAAAUAAACCGCAGGAUUCAUUCCUGUAAGGGUGGAAAGGCAGUGUAAGAGACUACCGCCUUCCUGGUAACAGGGAGGGCACAUGUAAACCCCAUCCGAAGCAAGGCCGAACAGGGAGCAUGGGCGGCCCGUCCGCUCCCGGGUAGGCCGCUGGAGCCUGGCGGUGACGCCAGGCCUAGAUAGAUGACCAUCCAACGACAUAACCCGGCUUACCGUUCUGCUCA